RNAcentral lists this ribosomal RNA (127 nucleotides) under Escherichia coli. RNAcentral describes it as "partial 16S ribosomal RNA". It matches the Rfam family "Bacterial small subunit ribosomal RNA", at positions 1 to 120 of the family's 1533-position model. RNAcentral also lists the same sequence under 1 other name. The record is from RNAcentral. Lineage: Bacteria; Pseudomonadati; Pseudomonadota; Gammaproteobacteria; Enterobacterales; Enterobacteriaceae.
AAAUUGAAGAGUUUGAUCAUGGCUCAGAUUGAACGCUGGCGGCAGGCCUAACACAUGCAAGUCGAACGGUAACAGGAAGAAGCUUGCUUCUUUGCUGACGAGUGGCGGACGGGUGAGUAAUGUCUGG